RNAcentral lists this ribosomal RNA (497 nucleotides) under uncultured bacterium. RNAcentral's name for it is "partial 16S ribosomal RNA". It matches the Rfam family "Bacterial small subunit ribosomal RNA", at positions 28 to 507 of the family's 1533-position model. The record is from RNAcentral.
GAUGAACGCUGGCGGCGUGCCUAAUACAUGCAAGUCGAGCGAACAGAUGAGGAGCUUGCUCCUCUGACGUUAGCGGCGGACGGGUGAGUAACACGUGGAUAACCUACCUAUAAGACUGUGAUAACUUCGGGAAACCGGAGCUAAUACCGGAUAAUAUAUUGAACCGCAUGGUUCAAUAGUGAAAGACGGUUUUGCUGUCACUUAUAGAUGGUUCCGCGCCGCAUUAGCUAGUUGGUAAGGUAACGGCUUACCAAGGCAACGAUGCGUAGCCGACCUGAGAGGGUGAUCGGCCACACUGGAACUGAGACACGGUCCAGACUCCUACGGGAGGCAGCAGUAGGGAAUCUUCCGCAAUGGGCGAAAGCCUGACGGAGCAACGCCGCGUGAGUGAUGAAGGUCUUCGGAUCGUAAAACUCUGUUAUUAGGGAAGAACAAAUGUGUAAGUAACUAUGCACGUCUUGACGGUACCUAAUCAGAAAGCCACGGCUAACUACGUG